GCUUUGUGACAUAUCUCUAUGCCUAUCACCUAGGUGACGUGACUUCUUGCUUGGCCCUGUCCACAUGGAGCAUUGUGACAUAUGUGUGGAACCUGCACUUAAGGCCCAACACCUGGAUGAUGUUACUCUUCUGCGUAGGUCAUGCAUAAAGAGGGAAUUAGGGCACAUUGCUUGCCCCAGUCCCCUAAUGAUAUGACUCUCCUGCUCGUGCCAGAGCCACAGAAGGCCCUGACCACGGGGAGAUUGUGACAUAUUUCUGGAUCCAGCACCCUUGUGAGGUCACUCUCCAGCCUUGGUAAUGCACAUAAGAAGCAUUGUGACAAAUAGCUAGGC
This is a long non-coding RNA of Symphalangus syndactylus (siamang), 333 nucleotides long. RefSeq lists it as uncharacterized. The record is from RefSeq and is a predicted model, not a curated record. NCBI's taxonomy places the organism in Eukaryota, Metazoa, Chordata, Mammalia, Primates, Hylobatidae.